RNAcentral lists this long non-coding RNA (465 nucleotides) under Coffea arabica (coffee). RNAcentral describes it as "long non-coding RNA (CARA_LNC005730)". The record is from RNAcentral. Lineage: Eukaryota; Viridiplantae; Streptophyta; Magnoliopsida; Gentianales; Rubiaceae.
GUAAUUAAUCAUCCCAGGUGAUGUAUCACGAAUUUGGUUAUGCAUGGCACAUAGUUUCUUAUAAGAAAAGUACUUUCAUUUUACUGAACAUGAUUCACUGUGUCAUGAAUCACUAAUAGACUACAUAGUUAUAUGCCACCCUCGCGGAAACUAAAAUACAAACUGAAAGAAACGUACAUUGCCCAUUAUUUAGUACUCGUUUAGUAUGAUAUUAGGAGUCCAGAGUACAGAACCCCAAUCAUGAGAUUAAUAUGUUGCAUAAGGCCAUUUACAGUCUAUUGAAAAUCCACCAAUAAAGUAAACAGUGCAGCCGUCGGAGACGCAACAAUUGGUGCAAUCUGUGUAGGUCUUCGUUCCAUUACAGAUCUUGUACUCGGUCGGCCCCAUGCAAUUUCGUGGGCAAGGCCUGAGAAGCCCAUGCCUGACAGCCUUGACUUCCACAUUUGCUCCCAGAAGAAUCAUUCC